RNA transcript from Coffea eugenioides, 2767 nucleotides. It is a transcript of the gene named methionine--tRNA ligase, chloroplastic/mitochondrial, with no coding region annotated. The record is from RefSeq and is a predicted model, not a curated record. NCBI's taxonomy places the organism in Eukaryota, Viridiplantae, Streptophyta, Magnoliopsida, Gentianales, Rubiaceae. The transcript is spliced from 13 exons.
AGCACAUAAAAUUAUUGCUCCUCCUGUUCCCCUGUUUCUUGCCCCCGAGACUUCUUAAAGCCUCAAACUUGCCUUUAUCCUCCCAAAACCUCCGGCUACGAGCCUUCUUCACAACGUUCGAGUUUUGAGGUGGCGAAUUGGUGACUACCGCACAUCCCUGCUUAAUUAAAAAAUUCACUCAACAACAUGUAUCUGUUCAGUUUUUUUCAAUAACUAGUAGCUAUAGAUAAAAGCUUCGGCAGAAAGUGGAAAAAUACAGAAAAAUGGCUUCUAGAGUUCAAAAUCCCAUACAAAAUAGGCUGUGGUUGCUAUCAUUCUCAACUUCAUCGUCUUCUUCUUUGUGCAAUUCCGUAAGUUUAAAGAAGACCCGUUUCACAAAUAGGACCCGUUUCACAAAUAGGUCCCUUUUCGGCAAGAGAAUGUCGUGGUCUUCUUCAAGACGAAAUCUUUACUGUACUUGCAGUACCAGCAGAGGCAGCACUAUGGAUUCUAAUACUAGUCCCAGUAGUGGCAGGCAAAAUGCUGAGCCUUUUGUCAUCACAACUCCGCUUUAUUAUGUGAAUGCCCCGCCUCACAUGGGCAGCGCCUAUACUACCGUUGCUGCUGACGCCAUUGCUCGUUUUCAGAGGCUUCUUGGGAAUAAGGUUGUAUUCAUUACUGGCACAGAUGAGCAUGGGGAAAAGAUUGCUACUGCUGCGGCUGCCUGUGGUUGUAGCCCUGCUGAACACUGCAAUGUCGUAUCACAGGCUUACAGGACACUCUGGAGAGAUUUAGGCAUAGCUUAUGAUAAGUUCAUCCGGACCACUGAUCCUAAGCAUGAAGCAAUUGUGAAGGAAUUCUACUCUAAGGUCUUAGCAAAUGGUGACAUUUAUCGGGCGGAUUACGAGGGACUGUAUUGUGUAAAUUGUGAAGAGUACAAGGAGGAAAAGGAAUUGCUGGACAACAACUGUUGUCCCAUCCACCUAAAACCAUGUGUUGCCAAAAAAGAAGACAAUUACUUCUUUGCCCUGUCAAAGUAUGAAGGAUUCCUAGGAAAGAUGCUAAGUGAGAAUCCAGAAUUUGUGCAGCCUUCUUUUCGCUUGAAUGAGGUACAAAGCUGGAUUACAAGUGGGUUGCGAGAUUUUUCCAUUUCCCGUGCAUCAGUAGAUUGGGGUAUAGAGGUCCCUAAUGAUGCCAAGCAAACUAUAUAUGUUUGGUUUGAUGCUUUAGUAGGUUAUAUUUCUGCUUUAUUGAAUGAUGGGGAGCAGCCAAACUUACAGACUGCAAUCUCAUCAGGCUGGCCCACAUCUCUGCACUUAAUUGGCAAGGAUAUAUUACGGUUUCAUGCAGUUUAUUGGCCAGCUAUGCUCAUGUCAGCUGGACUCCAACUUCCUAAGAUGGUAUUUGGCCAUGGGUUUUUGACAAAGGAUGGCAACAAGAUGGGCAAGUCACUGGGAAAUACACUAGAACCAACUGAUUUGGUGCAAAGAUUUGGACCUGAUGCUGUCAGGUACUUUUUCCUCAAGGAGGUUGAAUUUGGUAGUGAUGGGGAUUACUCUGAGAGCCGUUUCAUUAAUACUGUCAAUGCACAUCUUGCUAACACAAUUGGGAAUCUUCUGAACCGAACACUUGGGCUUCUGAAGAAAAAUUGUCAAUCAACUUUGGCUGUUGAUUCAGCCAUUGCUGCUGAGGGAAAUACAUUCAAAGAUGCAGUGGAGAUGUUGGUCACGAAGGCGAAAACUCAUUAUGAAACCCUUGCUCUCUCGUCAGCUUGCGAAGCUGUGCUGGAGAUUGGUAAUGCUGGGAACUUGUACAUGAAUCAACAGGCGCCUUGGUCUCUUUUUAAGCAAGGAGGUGCUGCUUCUGAAACUGCAGCGAAGGAACUUGUAAUUGUGCUGGAAGCAAUGAGGAUCAUAGCCAUAGUUUUGUCCCCUGUUACACCAAGCUUAUGUUUGAGAAUAUACAACCAGCUGGGCUACACAGAGGACCAAUUCGACACCAUCACCUGGAGUGAUGCCAAGUGGGGUGGGCUUAAGGCUGGACAGGUUAUGGCACAGCCGAAACCUGUCUUUUCCAGGAUUGAGAACCAAAUAGAAGAUGGUAAUGGAGGCGAAACAGUAAAGCAGGGGAGUAAAGAAAAGGAAAAUAUAAAUCAAAAUAAGAGCCCUAUUGAAGUGUGAAAGUUUUGGUUCCAGCGCAGGUAAUUGAUGAAGUCCUUUCCAAUGAUCCAGAGGAGUUGGAUGAAAACCUUUUGAAGAGGUUGGAAGUAGCUCAUUCAUUCGGUGAGGAAACAGAAGAGCUACUGAAUGGAUUUGGAACAGUUGAUUGAAAACUCUGUGGAGACUUUUCUCCAUUUUGGUGUGCUUGCUGCAUUGCUGGUUCUGGUGUUUGACAUGCGUAGCUCUGAUAUCAUAAUUCGCUUGCAGGAGAGUCGAUUGCCAUUCUUCUUGAUAAAGCGACAUAAAAGUCUCAUAUUGCAAAUGUGAAGGCUUCGUUCUGCUGGGGAUCAAUAUUGACUUGUGUUGGGUACGAGGAGCCAUGGCUGGCUCCUCAAUGGGGAACUGGAUCCAUUUGCUUUAUAAUGGCUGCUUAUGCAAAAGAACUGAUCAGGUCUUUGACUUUAUGAAAAGGUUUUACCAGUACAAAGGGUUCAUUGGCUCAGCUUGAUCAAUUUUAUUAGUGCGCUUGUUUUGAUCGUCCAAGUAAGCUUGCUGAUGAACUAUUUUCAACUUGAGCAAGUUUUGUAUAUCACAUCAAAGCAAACUAGUGGUUCGCUUGUUUUGCGGGG